AUCCCGCACAUAGGUUAUACUGCACUUAGGCUAUCCCGCACAUAGGUUAUACUGCACUUAGGCUAUCCCGCACAUAGGUUAUACUGCACUUAGGCUAUCCCGCACAUAGGUUAUACUGCACUUAGGCUAUCCCGCACAUAGGUUAUACUGCACUUAGGCUAUCCUGCACAUAGGUUAUACUGCACUUAGGCUAUCCUGCACAUAGGUUAUACUGCACUUGGGUUAUCCC
Long non-coding RNA from Apodemus sylvaticus (European woodmouse), 229 nucleotides. RefSeq lists it as uncharacterized. The transcript is spliced from 4 exons. The record is from RefSeq and is a predicted model, not a curated record. NCBI's taxonomy places the organism in Eukaryota, Metazoa, Chordata, Mammalia, Rodentia, Muridae.